GACGGAGGUUGCGAGCGUUAAUCGGAAUUACUGGGCGUAAAGCGCGUGCAGGCGGCAAGGUAAGUCUGAUGUGAAAUCCCCGGGCUUAACCCGGGAAGUGCACUGGAAACUGCUUUUCUUGAGUACUGGAGAGGAAGGGGGAAUUCCCGGUGUAGAGGUGAAAUUCGUAGAGAUCGGGAGGAAUACCAGUGGCGAAGGCGCCCUUCUGGACGGUUACUGACGCUGAGACGCGAAAGCGUGGGGAGCAAACAGG
RNAcentral lists this ribosomal RNA (253 nucleotides) under uncultured bacterium. RNAcentral describes it as "partial 16S ribosomal RNA". It matches the Rfam family "Bacterial small subunit ribosomal RNA", at positions 524 to 776 of the family's 1533-position model. The record is from RNAcentral.